Molecule: ribosomal RNA, 238 nt
Filed under: uncultured bacterium
Lineage: Bacteria
Description: partial 16S ribosomal RNA
Rfam family: Bacterial small subunit ribosomal RNA
Source: RNAcentral
AGGUGCUGCAUGGCUGUCGUCAGCUCGUGUCGUGAGAUGUUGGGUUAAGUCCCGCAACGAGCGCAACCCUUGUCAUUAGUUGCUACGAAAGGGCACUCUAAUGAGACUGCCGGUGACAAACCGGAGGAAGGUGGGGAUGACGUCAAGUCCUCAUGGCCCUUAUGGGUAGGGCUUCACACGUCAUACAAUGGUACAUACAGAGGGCCGCCAACCCGCGAGGGGGAGCUAAUCGCAGAAA